RNAcentral lists this ribosomal RNA (253 nucleotides) under uncultured bacterium. RNAcentral describes it as "partial 16S ribosomal RNA". It matches the Rfam family "Bacterial small subunit ribosomal RNA", at positions 524 to 776 of the family's 1533-position model. The record is from RNAcentral.
UACGAAGGGGGCUAGCGUUGCUCGGAUUUACUGGGCGUAAAGGGCGCGUAGGCGGACUGACAAGUUGGGGGUGAAAGCCCGGGGCUCAACCUCGGAACUGCCUUCAAAACUGUUAGUCUAGAGUUCGAGAGAGGUGUGUGGAACUCCGAGUGUAGAGGUGAAAUUCGUAGAUAUUCGGAAGAACACCAGUGGCGAAGGCGACACACUGGCUCGAUACUGACGCUGAGGCGCGAAAGCGUGGGGAGCAAACAGG